Molecule: ribosomal RNA, 490 nt
Filed under: uncultured bacterium
Lineage: Bacteria
Description: partial 16S ribosomal RNA
Rfam family: Bacterial small subunit ribosomal RNA
Source: RNAcentral
AUUGAACGCUGGUGGCAGGCUUAACACAUGCAAGUCGAACGGUAACAGGAAUUAGCUUGCUAAUUUGCUGACGAGUGGCGGACGGGUGAGUAAUGCUUGGGAAUCUGGCUUAUGGAGGGGGAUAACUACGGGAAACUGUAGCUAAUACCGCGUAAAAUCUUCGGAUUAAAGGGUGGGACUUUCGAGCCACCUGCCAUAAGAUGAGCCCAAGUGGGAUUAGGUAGUUGGUUAGGUAAAGGCUGACCAAGCCGACGAUCUCUAGCUGGUCUGAGAGGAUGACCAGCCACACUGGAACUGAGACACGGUCCAGACUCCUACGGGAGGCAGCAGUGGGGAAUAUUGCACAAUGGGGGGAACCCUGAUGCAGCGAUGCCGCGUGAAUGAAGAAGGCCUUCGGGUUGUAAAGUUCUUUCGGUGACGGGGAAGGUUGAUAGGUUAAUAGCCUAACAAAUUGACGUUAAUCACAGAAGAAGCACCGGCUAACUCCGUG